This 436-nucleotide long non-coding RNA is filed under the name Nicotiana tabacum (common tobacco). Its description in RNAcentral is "long non-coding RNA (NTAB_LNC008540)". The record is from RNAcentral. Lineage: Eukaryota; Viridiplantae; Streptophyta; Magnoliopsida; Solanales; Solanaceae.
GGCAGUCUACCCUCAUGCAAGCAUCAGUGGCAGAUUCCACGACUUGAACCCGUGACCUAUAGGUCACACAAAGACAACUUUACCGUUGCUCCAAGACUCCAACGUUCACGGAGGAUCCGGGGAAAGGCCGCAUCCCAAGGGGUGUGAUGUAGGCAGUCUACCUUGAUGCAAACAUUAGUGGCAGAUUCCACGGCUCGAACCCGUGACCUAUAGGUCACACAAAGACAACUUUACCGUUGCUCCAAGACUCCCCUUCGAGUAACCAAACAUAGUAAAAAUAAAAAUAGUAACUUUUACACUGAUUUUUAGACAUCUCUGUUCCCUUUUGAUUGUAUUAAUUGUUACUGUACAAAAAGAGUAGAAAAGGGAUCUUAUACUUAAUAAUGUGAUUUUCUACUAUGAACAAAUGGUAAAGAGGGAAUGCUAGAAAACAACU